This 703-nucleotide long non-coding RNA is filed under the name Nicotiana benthamiana. RNAcentral's name for it is "long non-coding RNA (NBEN_LNC025750)". Lineage: Eukaryota; Viridiplantae; Streptophyta; Magnoliopsida; Solanales; Solanaceae. The record is from RNAcentral.
AGCUAGAACCUUCUCCAAAAAUUCAAAAGAAUUCUAAAGAAGAUCAAGGAGAUCAUGAAAGUGUAAAUUCAUCAUCAGCUUCCACAGUUUCAUCAGGAAGAGAUCAAGAAAAGUUAUUACCUGCAUCAAAUGGUAAGCCUCAUGAUCAUGAAGAAAUAAUUAUGUAAAGACUCGCUUUAUUACUAUAGUAAGCCUGAUUCUGAGGAAAUAAUGAAGAAAUUUGAGUGCCAAUAUUGUUUCAAACAAUUUGCUAAUUCUCAAGCUUUGGGAGGGCAUCAAAAUGCUCACAAAAAAGAAAGAAUGAGGAAAAAGAGGCUACAACUUCAAGCAAGAAAAGCCAGCUUAAGUUGCUAUCUUCAACCCUUUCAAAACAACAAUAAUAAUAUUAGUUAUCAGUUUUAUGAUCCUAAUUCUUUCUUUGGGAAUUCUGAUCAGUUUACAGUUUAUGAUGAAUCCCAAAUUAGUUUCAGCCCUUAUGAUCAAGAAUCCCAAGUCUUGGUAGGAAAAUGGCCAUUUCAGCAAGAUUCUUGUAUGUUUACUCUUACACAUGGAGAGAAAUCUAGAGAAAAAUACUCUAGGCCUGCAGCAGUGAUGAAGCCAGAAACUUUGCCUAAUUCAGCUUCUAAACAAAAGUGUAAUUCUUUGGAUCUUCAAUUGGGAUUAAGUUUGCAUUGAGUAUUGCAAAGAGAUUAAUAUAUAUUUG